Long non-coding RNA from Tachyglossus aculeatus (Australian echidna), 388 nucleotides. RefSeq lists it as uncharacterized. The record is from RefSeq and is a predicted model, not a curated record. The transcript has 3 exons. Lineage: Eukaryota; Metazoa; Chordata; Mammalia; Monotremata; Tachyglossidae.
GCGGAAUGAUGGAGGUCUAAAGCGGUAUUCAAAAGGAUUCCCUCACAGUGCCCCUCUGCAUUUUAGAUACCUGAAGUGCCCACUUCACCCAUGGCUCCAGGAGAUGAGGAGAAGCACCAAGGGGAGGAAGGAGAUCAACCACCUUGAAAGUCCCGACCAGCCCUGCACCAGCCAAACCGGAGCCUAAACCAAGCCGGCCAGGGAGAUCCCAGUGGCAGCAGUGACAAGCCAAAUAAUACCGCCUGGAGAGAUUCAGUCCAGAGAGCUGCACCAGUGAAGAAGAGGGCAAGGGAGAAGUGAUGGGGACUCAAACCAAAGUCUGGGGACCAGGACACCCUGAGAGAAGAUAGGAGUCGACCUGUCCAUUGGAAAAAAAUAAGUAUCUAAU